GAUGAACGCUGGCGGCGUGCCUAAUACAUGCAAGUCGAGCGAACGGACGAGAAGCUUGCUUCUCUGAUGUUAGCGGCGGACGGGUAAGUAACACGUGGAUAACCUACCUAUAAGACUGGGAUAACUUCGGGAAACCGGAGCUAAUACCGGAUAAUAUUUUGAACCGCAUGGUUCAAAAGUGAAAGACGGUCUUGCUGUCACUUAUAGAUGGAUCCGCGCUGCAUUAGCUAGUUGGUAAGGUAACGGCUUACCAAGGCAACGAUGCAUAGCCGACCUGAGAGGGUGAUCGGCCACACUGGAACUGAGACACGGUCCAGACUCCUACGGGAGGCAGCAGUAGGGAAUCUUCCGCAAAGGGCGAAAGCCUGACGGAGCAACGCCGCGUGAGUGAUGAAGAUCUUCGGAUCGUAAAACUCUGUUAUUAGGGAAGAACAUAUGUGUAAGUAACUGUGCACAUCUUGACGGUACCUAAUCAGAAAGCCACGGCUAACUACGUG
Molecule: ribosomal RNA, 497 nt
Filed under: uncultured bacterium
Lineage: Bacteria
Description: partial 16S ribosomal RNA
Rfam family: Bacterial small subunit ribosomal RNA
Source: RNAcentral